RNAcentral lists this ribosomal RNA (478 nucleotides) under uncultured bacterium. RNAcentral's name for it is "partial 16S ribosomal RNA". It matches the Rfam family "Bacterial small subunit ribosomal RNA", at positions 28 to 523 of the family's 1533-position model. The record is from RNAcentral.
GACGAACGCUGGCGGCGUGCUUAACACAUGCAAGUCGAACGGUAAGGCCCUUCGGGGUACACGAGUGGCGAACGGGUGAGUAACACGUGGGUGAUCUACCCUGCACUUCGGGACAAGCCUGGGAAACUGGGUCUAAUACCGGAUAGGACUCCUGGCUUCAUGGUUGGGGGUGGAAAGCUUUUGCGGUGUGGGAUGGGCCCGCGGCCUAUGAGCUUGUUGGUGGGGUAAUGGCCUACCAAGGCGACGACGGGUAGCCGGCCUGAGAGGGUGACCGGUCACACUGGGACUGAGAUACGGCCCAGACUCCUACGGGAGGCAGCAGUGGGGAAUAUUGCACAAUGGGCGCAAGCCUGAUGCAGCGACGCCGCGUGAGGGAUGACGGCCUUCGGGUUGUAAACCUCUUUCAGCUAUGACGAAGCGCAAGUGACGGUAGUAGCAGAAGAAGGACCGGCCAACUACGUGCCAGCAGCCGCCGUAA